UUUUUUUCCUUCCCAUYUCUGCUGUGAGUUUGUUGGGUUAUCCAAGGGCUGGUCUUGUGACAGUGCCAGGAUCCUUGACAAACAUCAUCUGGCCCUUUGCUAACUGGAGUUUAUGGUCAAAAUGGGACAAUGCUGUAAUAUGUUGUCAUUGGAGAGAAACAACCAGCUGGGACUCUUGAUGCUUACUGGGGACUAGAGCAAUGCUAAUCUGUGGAAUGGCCCUAAGGGAAGGCAUGUCAUUCCCAGGAGGCCUAGGACUGAGCGGUUCCUGUGCAGCAGAGGAGAAGGACACUCAGGAGGCAGCAGGCUGUUGAACAAGGCUUUCCUGUGAAGGAAGAACAAUUUAAAUCUCAACCAUAACUCUGUAGUAUCUCUCUUCUGUUAAUCCAGUCAGUGUGAUGCUGUACCCUGAACUUAAACAGUAGUCUACUGCCUCAAUUAUUAAUUCUUUUUUCUUUGGACAUGAAAAUUAUUUUUCCCUUUAUGGAAUAAUAUUGACAGUCCACUGCCAAACAGAAAGAGAAGGGGUAAAUCAGUGAGUCUUUGAUUUCUGUUAAUGUUAACCUUGAGCAUCUCUGYAUAGCAAUGCUUAGCUAUGAAACACUGGAAGACUUGUUGCAGUCUUUGUGCAUCUUUCUUYGUGGCUCCCUCCUGGCAAUUGGGAUUUAGUGACCCACUGCCAGAGGUGACUAGGGCCCUCUGAACCUGGGGCUGCAUCAGCUCAUUACCAGGAACAUUGUCCUGGGAGGUGGAUGGACGUAGCCCUUGCAGCCCUUGUCUCUCUUCCCCUUGUUAACCAUUAUCUUCCCAGCUUCUGGACAUUGGAGCAUGUAGGUGCCCAGCUCCUGCACAAACAUCAGCUGUUGAGA
Nothoprocta perdicaria is the source of this 869-nucleotide long non-coding RNA. RefSeq lists it as uncharacterized. NCBI's taxonomy places the organism in Eukaryota, Metazoa, Chordata, Aves, Tinamiformes, Tinamidae. The record is from RefSeq and is a predicted model, not a curated record. The transcript has 3 exons.